UUUUCGAAGAAAAGAAAAGAGAAAAAGAAAAACUAUCUUCAUAUUCAUUUCUCCGUUUUCCUCUUUCCCGGCAAUAACAACACACCGAAUAAAACCCUAAUCGCGGUUGUCGCUAUAGCACGACCCAAGCCCUACCUCAUCGUCUCUCUCAGAUUUACCUCUGAAAUAUCCAUUUUUACCAAGGAUAUUACUGUUCUCGUUCUCCCACAACUUCUUUCUCUAAUCUUCGUUUGUCUUGUCAAUGGCGGAGGCUCGGAACGGCGAUCGGAGCGAGGAAACUGAUUACACAUCGGAAGACGAAGGGACUGAGGAUUACAGGCGAGGAGGGUAUCAUGCUGUUCGUGUUGGGGAUACUUUUAAGAAUGGUUGUUAUGUUGUUCAAAGCAAGCUCGGUUGGGGUCAUUUUUCCACUGUGUGGUUAGCUUGGGACACUCAGAAAUCGCGUUAUGUAGCUUUGAAAGUUCAAAAGAGCGCUCAGCAUUACACUGAAGCUGCGUUGGAUGAGAUUAAGAUUCUUAAGCAGAUUGCAGAGGGAGAUAUAGAAGACAAGAAGUGUGUUGUGAAGCUUUUGGAUCAUUUCAAGCACUCUGGCCCAAACGGGCAGCAUGUUUGUAUGGUUUUUGAGUACCUUGGAGACAACUUAUUGACUCUUAUUAAGUAUGCUGAUUACAGAGGGAUUCCUCUACACAUGGUGAAGGAAAUUUGUUUUCAUAUUUUAGUGGGAUUAGAUUACUUGCAUCGGAAGCUUUCAAUUAUACAUACAGAUUUAAAGCCAGAGAAUGUAUUGCUUCCUUCUAUGAUGGAUCCAUCUAAAGAUCCUAGAAAAUCAGGAAAUCCUCUCAUCCUUCCAAACAGUAAGAAUAAAACUUCGACUAGUUCUGAUGCUUCAAAUGAUGUUAAGAGCUACAAUGGAGACCUUACCAAGAACCAGAAAAAGAAGAUAAGGAAACGAGCUAAGAAGGCAGCCCAGGGGCGAUUGGAGAAGGAAACUGUUGAAGAAGACAUAGAUGAAGAAGACCCUGCAAGAGCUGGCACAGAAGAUUUAGAUAAUGGGGUUAAAUUAAAUGGCGGUACAACCAAAACUCAUAAAGAUGGUGCUGUGAAUGAUGCUGAUACAAAAAAUGCUGAUGAUUUGAAGGAUGCUGGGCCAGGAAAGAAAGGUCAGAGGAAAAUGAGCCGAGAAACAAGACGGAGACUGCUGGCAGCUGCUGAUCUUAAGUGCAAGCUGGUUGAUUUUGGAAAUGCAUGUUGGACAUACAAGCAAUUUACUAAUGAUAUUCAGACACGGCAGUAUAGAUGUCCUGAGGUUAUUCUUGGAUCUAAAUAUUCGACACCAGCAGAUAUGUGGUCAUUUGCUUGCAUUUGUUUUGAGUUGGCCACUGGUGAUGUUCUUUUUGAUCCACACAGUGGUGACAAUUAUGAAAGGGAUGAGGACCAUUUAGCAUUGAUGAUGGAGCUUCUUGGGGUGAUGCCCCGCAAGAUUGCAUUAGGCGGUCGGUACUCGAGGGACUACUUCAACAGAUAUGGAGAGUUGAGGCAUAUUCGUCAGUUGCGCUUUUGGCCUCUGAAUAAGGUGCUGACUGAGAAGUACGAUUUCAGCGAGCAAGAUGCUAACGACAUGGCAGAGUUUCUUACUCCUUUAUUGGAUUUUGCACCUGAAAAGAGACCAACAGCAGCACAAUGUCUUAGCCAUACUUGGCUCAGUUCUGUCCCAAGAAAUCUCGAGUGUUCUGUAUCAAGCCAUCAAAAUCAGCCGGUAGAUCAACCUGCUUCUAUAAAAGUAAGUGAGAAGGAUGAAAGAGAAGCCAUGGAGAUUGGAAUGGGAAACAUAGCUAUCGAUGGAACUUCAAAAUCCACCUCAUCGAAAUUGACGUGACUAGAGAUGUAAUGUACGACGUUUCAGGUUAUAUGUGUUGUGCAAUGUAGUGUACUGGUUUGCAGGUCAGGUUUCUGUUGGAGUUGGAAGCAUUCAUGGUCCGUGUUGUUUCAGUGUUGUCCUACAUGCCAAUGCCAUCGUGUUUUGCUUCGAGAGAGUAGACCAGCUUUCGUUGGCCCUUCUUGAGUGAUUUCGAACAACUGAAUGUUUUGAGCAUUUGUUGGUUUGACAGAGGGCGCCUUCGAGCCAAGAUCAUGUUGGCAGUUCAAAAACUUCCCUACCAAUGAGGGGACUAUUUGGAGCUCUCUCUCUCUCUCUCUCUCUCUCUUUUUAAAGAAAUUUUGUGAAUUUAAAUUUCAUUGGCUAUGUACUUGUUUGAAUAAUGGUAAAUAACUCAGGUCAUGUUUAUUGAACCUUAAAAAAUACUCGAAUCAUAAUGAAAAUUUAUGUA
This is an RNA transcript of Cucumis melo (muskmelon), 2327 nucleotides long. RefSeq lists it as uncharacterized. NCBI's taxonomy places the organism in Eukaryota, Viridiplantae, Streptophyta, Magnoliopsida, Cucurbitales, Cucurbitaceae. The record is from RefSeq and is a predicted model, not a curated record. The transcript has 5 exons.